RNAcentral lists this ribosomal RNA (338 nucleotides) under Ctenophora environmental sample. RNAcentral describes it as "partial Eukaryotic small subunit ribosomal RNA". It matches the Rfam family "Eukaryotic small subunit ribosomal RNA", at positions 605 to 948 of the family's 1831-position model. The record is from RNAcentral. Lineage: Eukaryota; Metazoa; Ctenophora.
UAAAGUUGUUGCAGUUAAAAAGCUCGUAGUUGAACCUUGGGUCUGGCUGGCCGGUCCGCCUCACCGCGUGUACUGGUCCGGCCGGGCCUUUCCUUCUGGGGAGCCGCAUGCCCUUCACUGGGCGUGUCGGGGAACCAGGACUUUUACUUUGAAAAAAUUAGAGUGUUCAAAGCAGGCCUUUGCUCGAAUACAUUAGCAUGGAAUAAUAGAAUAGGACGUGUGGUUCUAUUUUGUUGGUUUCUAGGACCGCCGUAAUGAUUAAUAGGGAUAGUCGGGGGCAUCAGUAUUCAAUUGUCAGAGGUGAAAUUCUUGGAUUUAUUAAAGACUAACUUAUGCGA